CCCUUCGUAUACUAUAAUGCAGUCGAGCGGAUCGAUGGGAGCUUGCUCCCUGAGAUCAGCGGCGGACGGGUGAGUAACACGUGGGUAACCUGCCUGUAAGACUGGGAUAACUCCGGGAAACCGGGGCUAAUACCGGAUAAUUUAGUUCCUCGCAUGAGGAACUGUUGAAAGGUGGCUUCUGCUACCACUUACCGAUGGACCCGCGGCGCAUUAACUAAUUGGUGAGGUAACGGCUCACCCAGGGAACCAUGCGUAACCCAACUGGAAGGGUGAUCGGGCACACUGGGACUGAAACACGGGCCAAAAUCCUACGGGAGGGAGCAGUAAGGAAUCCUCCGCAAUGGACGAAAGUCUGACGGAACAACGCCCCGUGAGUGAAGAAAGGUUUCCGAUCCUAAAACUCUGGUGGUAGGGAAGAACCAGUGGCGGUCGAAUAAGGCGGCCCCCUGACGGUACCUAACCAGAAAGCCACGGCUAACUACCUGGCAACAGCCGCGGUAAUACCUAAGUGGCAAGCGUUGUCCGGGAUUAUUGGGCGUAAAGCGCGCGCAAGUGGUUUCCUAAGUCUGGAGUGAAAGCCCACGGCUCAACCGUGGAAGGUCAUUGGAAACUGGGGAACCUGAGUGGCGAAGAGGGAAGUGGAAUUUCCAGUUGUAGCGGUGGAAUGCCUAGAUUAUUGGAAGAACACCCAGUGGCCGAAGCCGACUUCUGGUCCUGUACUGACACAUGAAGCGCCGAAAGCGUUGGGGAGGCAAACAAGGAUUAGAUACCCUGGGUAGUCCACGCCGUAAACGAUGAGAUGCUUAGUGGUAGAAGGGUUUCCGCCCUUUAGUGCUGCAGCUAACGCCAUUAAGCACUCCGCCUGGGGGAGUAACGGUCGCAAGGACUGAAACUCAAAGGAAUGACCGGGGGCCCGCACAAAGCCGGUGGGAGCCAUGUGGUUUAAAUUCGAAGCAACGCCGAAGAACCUUAACCAAGGUCUUGACAUCCUCCUGACAACCCUAAGAGAUAAGGGCUUUCCCCUUCCGGGGGACAGAGUGACAAGGUGGGUGCAUGGCUGGUCGUCAGCUCCGGGUCGUGAGAAUGGUUGGGUUAAAGUUCCCGCAAACGAAGCGCAAACCGUUGAUCCUUAAGUUGCCAACCAAUUCAAGUUGGGCACACUCUUAAAAAUGAAAUGGCCGGGUGACACAAAACCCGGAAAGAAAAGGGUGUGGGGG
This 1217-nucleotide ribosomal RNA is filed under the name uncultured prokaryote. RNAcentral's name for it is "bacterial SSU rRNA". It matches the Rfam family "Bacterial small subunit ribosomal RNA", at positions 34 to 1181 of the family's 1533-position model. The record is from RNAcentral.